UGAGGAAUAUUGGACAAUGGGCGCAAGCCUGAUCCAGCAAUGCCGCGUGCAGGAUGAAGGCCUUCGGGUUGUAAACUGCUUUUGUACGGAGCGAAAAGGUCUGCCCUAAUACGGUGGGCUCAUGACGGUACCGUAAGAAUAAGCACCGGCUAACUACGUGCCAGCAGCCGCGGUAAUACGUAGGGUGCGAGCGUUAAUCGGAAUUACUGGGCGUAAAGCGUGCGCAGGCGGUUAUAUAAGACAGAUGUGAAAUCCCCGGGCUCAACCUGGGACCUGCAUUUGUGACUGUAUAGCUAGAGUGCGGUAGAGGAGGAUGGAAUUCCGCGUGUAGCAGUGGAAUGCGUAGAUAUGCGGAGGAACACCGAUGGCGAAGGCAAUCCCCUGGACCUGUACUGACGCUCAUGCGCGAAAGCGUGGGGAGCAAACA
This 427-nucleotide ribosomal RNA is filed under the name uncultured bacterium. Its description in RNAcentral is "bacterial SSU rRNA". It matches the Rfam family "Bacterial small subunit ribosomal RNA", at positions 355 to 774 of the family's 1533-position model. The record is from RNAcentral.